ACCUUUUCCAGCCCACCGGAGCACCUGAAAGCUGAACUCAUUUAUGCAGGCUAAAAGUACAGCCCUGCAGCAUCAUUAAGCAUUUUAUUGCAGAAUACAUGUAUAUUGCUAUCAGCACGGUAUCCGUAUUACAGUAUCACUGUAGCCAUCUAAUAAUCCUGUGUCCUUUCCGUUCAGAAAAGACCAUUCCAGUGACAGCAGAUUCUAUUGCCAUGAGUCACAGCUGUUUUCCAGUAAUAAAAGAUCUCCAAGUUUGCUGAGAAGAGAGAAGAUGCAUCUUGCCAAAUGCAGUUUGACUGAGUCUGAUUUUACAGUAUGUCUAGUUAUAAGCGAACCAUAUUUAUUUUAAUGAUUAAUCUUUACAACUAUCUAGUAACGUGAAAGUUUCCACCUGUUCACAUAAUUAAAAAAAGUUUUACAACCACAAACCAUUAACAUGGGUCAUAGUGCAUUGCAAUAAUUCACCUUAACGAAUAUAAAGACUGAAUGACCUGACUUCACAUUCACUAAAAUACUUGUCAUUAUGACAUGUCCUAGGGAUAUGUCAAAAGUUUUGAUGGGUCGCGACCUGAGUGUUCAGACCCCGACCAAUAAGUAGAACAAGUGGA
Hyla sarda is the source of this 608-nucleotide long non-coding RNA. RefSeq lists it as uncharacterized. The transcript is spliced from 4 exons. NCBI's taxonomy places the organism in Eukaryota, Metazoa, Chordata, Amphibia, Anura, Hylidae. The record is from RefSeq and is a predicted model, not a curated record.